CAGUCGCCGCGGGAAUACGUAGGUGGCAAGCGUUGUCCGGAAUUAUUGGGCGUAAAGGGCUCGCAGGCGGUUUCUUAAGUCUGAUGUGAAAGCCCCCGGCUCAACCGGGGAGGGUCAUUGGAAACUGGGAAACUUGAGUGCAGAAGAGGAGAGUGGAAUUCCACGUGUAGCGGUGAAAUGCGUAGAGAUGUGGAGGAACACCAGUGGCGAAGGCGACUCUCUGGUCUGUAACUGACGCUGAGGAGCGAAAGCGUGGGGAGCGAACAGGAUUAGAUACCCCCGUAGCCCUGUCUCUUAUACA
Molecule: ribosomal RNA, 301 nt
Filed under: uncultured bacterium
Lineage: Bacteria
Description: partial 16S ribosomal RNA
Rfam family: Bacterial small subunit ribosomal RNA
Source: RNAcentral